GACGAACGCUGGCGGCGUGCUUAACACAUGCAAGUCGAACGGAAAGGCCCUGCUUGCAGGGUACUCGAGUGGCGAACGGGUGAGUAACACGUGGGUGAUCUGCCCUGCACUUCGGGAUAAGCCUGGGAAACUGGGUCUAAUACCGGAUAGGAGCCAUUUUUAGUGUGAUGGUUGGAAAGCUUUUUCGGUGUAGGAUGAGCUCGCGGCCUAUCAGCUUGUUGGUGGGGUAAUGGCCUACCAAGGCGGCGACGGGUAGCCGGCCUGAGAGGGUGGACGGCCACAUUGGGACUGAGAUACGGCCCAGACUCCUACGGGAGGCAGCAGUGGGGAAUAUUGCACAAUGGGCGCAAGCCUGAUGCAGCGACGCGCGUGGGGGAUGACGGCCUUCGGGUUGUAAACUCCUUUCGCUAGGGACGAAGCUUUUUGUGACGGUACCUAGAUAAGAAGCACCGGCUAACUACGUG
Molecule: ribosomal RNA, 464 nt
Filed under: uncultured bacterium
Lineage: Bacteria
Description: partial 16S ribosomal RNA
Rfam family: Bacterial small subunit ribosomal RNA
Source: RNAcentral